This 1591-nucleotide ribosomal RNA is filed under the name Anomaloglossus sp. Paru. Its description in RNAcentral is "16S ribosomal RNA". Lineage: Eukaryota; Metazoa; Chordata; Amphibia; Anura; Aromobatidae. The record is from RNAcentral.
GCCUAACCUCUAGCCCCAACCCUUUAUACACAAACAAACCCUUAUUUAUCUACCCUGAAUCAAAACAUUUUAACAAUUUAGUACUAGGCGAUAAAAAAAUUUUUCCGGAGCAUUACAAUUAGUACCGUAAGGGAAAGAUGAAAUAAUAAUGAAAUAUAUUUAAGCACAAAAAAGUAGAGUUUUCCCCUCGUACCUUUUGCAUCAUGGUUUAACUAGUCUAAUUAGGCAAAAAGAUUUAUAGUCUAACUUCCCGAACCUAAGCGAGCUAUCUUAAGACAGCUUCAUGAGCCAACCCGUCUCUGUUGCAAAAGAGUGGGAAGAUCUUAAAAUAGCGGUGACAGACMAAACGAGCUUAGUGAUAGCUGGUUGCUUUUUAAAAGAAUUUUAGUUCCACUCAAAGCUUAUUUUAUACAAAGAAAUUAUUACUUUGAAGUAAUUCAAAUAAGGUUCAGCCUAUUUGAAAAAGGAUACAACCUCAACCACUGGGUUACCCCGUCUCAAUAUGUUCAAGUAGGCUUAAAAGCAGCCAUCUUCAAUAAAAGCGUCAGAGCUUGCCCAUUUUUAGACCUAAUUACUUAAACAUUCCCCAACCCUUCCCCACUAAAAAGCAACUCUAUAUUCUUAUAGAAAAUUUUAUGUUAAAACUAGUAACAAGAAGCAGACCUUCUCUUUAAUGUACCUUUAUAUCAAUUAGGACACUCCACUGAUUCUUAACGUUUAUAAUUUCUAAAUAGCAACACCCCAAGAAAAAUCUAUUUUCACCMACGUUAACCUAACACAAGAACAUUUUAAGAAAGAUUCAAAGAAAAAGAAGGAACUCGGCAAACAUUAGCUUCGCCUGUUUACCAAAAACAUCGCCUCUUGAUUAAACCAUAAGAGGUCCAGCCUGCCCAGUGACAUUGUUCAACGGCCGCGGUAUCCUAACCGUGCGAAGGUAGCGUAAUCACUUGUCCUUUAAAUGAAGACUAGUAUGAAUGGCCUCACGAAAGCUAUACUGUCUCCUUUUUCCAAUCAGUUAAACUAAUCUCCCCGUGAAGAAGCGGGGAUAAAUAUAUAAGACGAGAAGACCCUAUGGAGCUUUAAACAAUCGAAACACCUGUAUAUUUGUUUUAUCUAAAUCUACAUAUAACCCCACAUUUUGUUUCUAGUUUUAGGUUGGGGUGACCGCGGAGAAAAAAUCAACCCCCACGCUGAAAGAGAUAUCUCUAAACAAAAAGCUACACCUUUAUGUAUUAACAUAUUAACCCUAAUUGACCCAAUAAAUUGAUCAACGAACCAAGUUACCCUAGGGAUAACAGCGCAAUCCAUUUCAAGAGCUCUUAUCGACAAAUGGGUUUACGACCUCGAUGUUGGAUCAGGGUAUCCUGGUGGUGCAGCCGCUACUAACGGUUCGUUUGUUCAACGAUUAAAACCCUACGUGAUCUGAGUUCAGACCGGAGUAAUCCAGGUCAGUUUCUAUCUAUAAAGAGUUUUUUCUAGUACGAAAGGACCGAAAAAACAUGGCCAAUACCAUUACGCAAGCCAUCUAUUUUGCAUUUAUGCCUCCAACUCAAUAAUCAAAAAUCUCUCACUUCAUUUAAGACAAAAACCA